This 218-nucleotide ribosomal RNA is filed under the name uncultured bacterium. RNAcentral describes it as "partial 16S ribosomal RNA". It matches the Rfam family "Bacterial small subunit ribosomal RNA", at positions 57 to 305 of the family's 1533-position model. The record is from RNAcentral.
GCAAGUCGAGCGCGCCUUCGGGUGAGCGGCGGACGGGUUAGUAACGCGUGGGAACAUACCCUUCUCUAAGGAAUAGCCUCUGGAAACGGAGAGUAAUACCUUAUACGCCCUUCGGGGGAAAGAUUUAUCGGAGAUGGAUUGGCCCGCGUUAGAUUAGAUAGUUGGUGGGGUAAUGGCCUACCAAGACUAUGAUCAAUAGCUGAUUUGAGAGGAUGAUC